This is a long non-coding RNA of Sapajus apella (tufted capuchin), 8076 nucleotides long. RefSeq lists it as uncharacterized. The record is from RefSeq and is a predicted model, not a curated record. NCBI's taxonomy places the organism in Eukaryota, Metazoa, Chordata, Mammalia, Primates, Cebidae. The transcript has 2 exons.
GCGGUGAGCCGAGAUUGCGCCAUUGUACUCCAGCCUGGGUAACAACAGUGAAACUCCAUCUCAAAAAAAAAAAAAAUCAGUUCAAGGAAAAGUUGAUUACGUGGAUGGUUCAGCAUGAGACGUAGAAUAAAAUGGAAACUUGUAGAUCAGUUAGUAAAAUAAAAUCCUUUGGGUCCUUUUCAGUGGGUUUUGCGUUUGAGGGAAGUAAUCACCCGGAGGGCUUUGCUGGUCACUGUGCUCAUAGUUUGUCACUGCAUGGCUCUGAGUGGAGCCUGAGAAUUUGCAGUCCUAACUCAUUCCCAGGUGAUGCUGCUGCUGCUCCAGGAACCAGGCUUUGAACAAUCGCAGGCCUGUUUCAUUUCAUUACUCUUACAUGCACACUACAACUUUAUGCCUCAGUUUCAUAUAGUUAAUGCAAGGACACAAAUCCUACUCAGGCAGAGAGAAGCAGGAUAUAGCCCAAUCAUGGCUGCAAAAAGAAUUAGGGGAAAUACACAUCACCCACCUGUACAGUUUUCACCUCACUCUUAUCCUGACUUUGGUGUCUGUGACUAGCCAGUCUCUUGCGUCUCCUUGUGGGGAUAUCAAAAUUAGGCUCUCUGUAACCUGACUUUUGUUGACUUGGUUCCUCUCCUGACAUUGUCCCUUCCCUGUGGAAGCUACAGGAACCUUCACUCAGAUAUGCCCACUGCUGUUCAUGCCACUGUGCCCUCGCAUGAACGUCCUCUGUUAACUCACUGCACAUGUGUAUUCUUCCUCAAGACCCGUCAGCUGCCACCUCCUGUUUAGUAUCUUCCUGUCUUCUCUGUCUUCCCUGUUCUGUCUUCUUUGUGUACCUUGUACAGACUCCUGCUGUAGCCCUUAACAUACUGUGUUACCGUUUGUAACAUAUAUAGUUCCCUUCCUAUUAUGUGAGCAUCUCUGGGGCAUCAGCCUUACCUUCUACAGUUGCGUGGUCCCUGUUCCUAGCCCACAUGUGAGCAGAUAUUUAUGGAAUGUAUGUCCACAGUAUAUAUGUAUGGACUGCACGAUGGAAUCAUUUAGUGGAAACGUUCCAGAUUCCUCAGUCCAUAAAAAUGAAUAGGAUGCAAUCACAACCAAUAACAAGAAUGCAGAGAGCUCAAAUAACUGAUAUUUGGAAGAGAGUUGCAGUCGUGCUACAAAUAAGAGCAUAAUGAGAAGGCCUGAGAUUUCCAUUACCUCAUUGCUCUGUAUCACAGCGAAGUCCACAUGUGGCUCUACUUACAUUAAUCAUCUCAGAAGAACCGAAGUAUUAUUUGUCUAGUAAUGAAAAGCAAUUUGCUGAUACCAACGCAGGGACAUGAAUAGAUAUCACAAAAUAGUUAUCCAUAAGCAUCUGUCAUCUUCAUUAUAUUUUGGUCACAGUGAUAGAUUAUCAAAUGAAUUAGAGGAACGGAAUUAGUUUGAAUCCUCAGCUCUAACAUAAUCACUUGGGAAAAUAUUUGCCGAGUAAAAAGAUUAUGAGAAUGAAAACUUCUAUUUACCUAAAAAAGAGUAACUGCAGAAUCCUAAUCAUCUAGAAUGUUUCAAAAUCCACUGUCCGCGGGCCCAUGAGCUCAGUUGCUAUGUGUACUUUCAAAUGCAUUGCAUACCACUUCUAUCCUACACACAGAUUUUUUAAAUUAUGUGGCAAGGGACGAAGAGAUGGCGCUUUAAGAUGAAGGAAAUGGGCAGUAUUUUUUUUUUUUUUUGAGACGAUCACUGCAGAGUGGAACUAUUUACGGUGUGGGUCACGGAAAGGCAGCACUUGUUCUGAAAAAAUGUCAGUGCUAGAGUUUUGUGAGAUUGCUUUAAUAGAUUUUUUUCUUCUUUUUUAUCCAACUUUGCCAGAAUUAAAGCAAUGUUGUUACAGCAGGAGGAGCAGCAGGGCGACUGUGGGGUCUGUGAAAGGACGGGUGUCACUUAGUGCCUGCUGUUGGCUGCUUCUCCGGGAAUCCUGGCUUCCUAUAUCUCACUCUAUCGGCGCACCUCCCUCUCGACUCUGACCACCUUUCUCAGACUCCUGAACUGGUUUCAUCUUUCUCCCUCUUGGCUCUGGGUGUCCCUCAGGUACUGUUCUUAACCUCCAGCUCCUUCCUGUAUAUACUCAGUUAGGUAUUACCAAAUGCCCCUGGGACAUUUUCAUUUAGAUGUUCAGCCUCAAAAAGAAAAAAAAAAUUCCUGCACUGAGCACAUUGCACAUCUACCUGAAACCCACCUCCCUUUCCAGAUAUUUUCUCUAAUUUGCACGUGCUGUGAUCAGACCCUCCCUGAUGCCUUUGCUCUUGCCUAGAAUGCCCCCCACCAUCCCCCAUUCUAGUAUACAGCUCUUAAACGCUAAUGCCUGCAGAAACGAGGAGAGGAAUUGGCAGGUGUGAUGCUGGCUGGAAAUGGGGUACAAAAUGGCCACUGACCUUGGCCUCAGUGUCGGGGAGCAGUAGAGCCUGUGGGGGGACAGGGAAGGGCUGGAGAUCUGGUGCAGCAGCAGUCCUUUCCAUGUCAGUGUGUAGGCCCAGUGUUACCAGAUUUCUGUAUUUUAAAUGAGAAUUCAGAGUAUGUUUGUUUUUAAUUGCCUGAUUUUGGCCAGGUGCCAUGACUCAAACCCGUAAUCCCAACUCUUGGGUAGGCUAAGGUGGGAGGAUCAUUUGAGUCCAGAAGUUUGAGACCAGCCUGGGUAAGAUUCAGUCUCUACAAAAAAAAAAAAAAAAAAAAAAAAUGAGCUAGGCAGGGUGGUAUGCACUUACGGUCCUAGCUACUUAGGAGGCUGAGGUGGGAGGUUCACUUGAGCCCAGAUGGGCUGUGAGCCACGAUGUCACCACUGCACUGUGGUGUGGGCAACAGAACGAAACCACAUCUCAAAACAAAAAUUCCCCCAAUUUUAUAUGAACACUUGUUUGAGAUUAAAAUCACCUUCCAGGCUAACAUUGUGUAGAUUAUACAGACGGUGCCGUUAGUCCUGUGUGGGCUUCAGCUGCCAGCGCACGAUCUCUGAUUUAGAGCAUCGAGCUCAGUGCCAUCCAGUAGACGUAUGCAAGAUGUUUGAGAGAUCUAAAAUUUUCCAGUAGCCGUGUUUUAAAUGUUAAAAGAGAACAGGUGAGAUUAACUUUAAUAUUUUUAACUUAACUCAGUGUUUCCCAAGUAUCAUUUCAACAUGCAACCAACAGGAAAAAUCACUAAUGAGAGAGUUCACAUUCUGUUUUUGCAUAAAAGUCUUUGUGUUUUACCCUAAAGGCGAAUCUCAACAUCUCAGCGUAGACCAGCCCCGUGUAACUGGAGGCUGCUGCAGUGCACAGCCCAGCCCUGGAUGAGGAAUGAGAAUCACAUGCACAUAUAAUGAAGUGGGAUUUUAUUCAUUAUGCUUGCGUAAAGCUCGAUCAGUUGAGUUGCGGGUAAUCCAGAGUAGAAGAUAGUAAAUCUGAGAGUGAUGAGUGCAAUAUGACAAAAAGAAAUAUAUAGAAAGAGAUUGCUGGGAUGGUACCAGAGUGAUAAUUCAUAGGCUUUUAUAAGCCCAUUGUGCAUGGCUUCCAAGAGUCUUUUAAGGGACUUUUCUCUCUGGAGUUCUACCCUGUGACACAGGAGCUCACAGUUUAAGUUCUAAUUCACACUUGGAUUUAUGAUGCUGUUGCCCUGCUAAAAGGCAAAUGUCAAGGUGAGUGUUUUGUCUAUAAGCAUUUAAAAUAAAAUGAGCAUCAAAGAAGCCACUGUAAAACGGGGAAGAGUGUUCUGAAUUCAUUGAUGACUUUGUCAAUGCAUUGUGGAGGUGGGAGGAUCAUUUGAACCCAGGAGUUAGCAAUGUAGUGCAUGUGCUAAAUCUUGGUGGAGCCCAGAAGUUUGAGACCAGCCUGGGUAUACGAGAGUACAGUGGUAACAUCGUGGCUCACUGCAGGUCCCCUGGGCUCAAGUCAUCCUGCUGCCUCAGCCUCCUGAGUCGCUAGGACCAAUAGGAGCACAUCACCCUUCCUGGCUCAUUUUUAAAUUUUUUUUGUAGACAUACAAUCUUACUACGGGCUUCACCCAGAUUUAGCAGAUGCACUACACUCCUAACAAUAAGCAUUUCCGCCCAAUGUUUACCUGCUGUUUCUUUCCCUGCACGCUCAUACUGGGAAGCAGGGCCCUAGAGUUAUUGUUAGCUCUGACCUCGUGAAGGUUAUGACCAGCAGUGACUCCUUUUCUUGACCCUGACUGCGUGAUUUUUGUGUUUCCUUGCGACUACAUCCUCGAUAGACUCAAAGAUCUGUUGAGGGUUAGAAUGGGAAGCCAGUGAAAUUCUAAACCAUGUUAGCAUCUCCCUAGAGUAAGAUGUUAAUCAUCUGGCAUGCAGUAAUAUGUACAUGGAUCAUUGUCCUCUCACCAGGCUGCUCUAUGCCCAGUAACAGUCAAGAUGUGGUCACUGAUGCCCCCUUGCUACAAGAAGGGACCAGGGAAAGGAUGCCAGCUUCCCAGGACUGUCAGUCAUCCCUGUUUAACCCCUGUCUGAUGUUCUCAGUGACACCUUUAGCAUUUUGGAAGAUAUAUACCAUCAGUGCUAUCCAGGAGCCAAGGGUCCCAACUCUGCUGAGUUAAGGCAGUGGCACAAUUACCAUCCUGGGUUGAACUGUCAACAUUAUUGGAAAGCUCAUCCUAGGACUAUUGCUGUGGCAUUUCCCCAUAUCUGAACUCUCUGGCAUGGAUCUGUUGUGAGAAAGCUGCCAAACGUGAUGAUUUUGAGAAACGAGUCUAAGGAACCUUGAAGGGAAUCCAGGCCCCUUAUAGAGCUGGUCAUUUCUUAAGUCAUUCAGUACUGCCUUCCUGGCCUAUGUCUUGUCUCGCUGGCCUCAGUAAGCAGCCUCCGCUUGGUUCCAGCCAGUCUUACCUCCUAAGUACAGCAUUGAUUGGAAGAAGAGGAAGCAGAAAGUCUGCCUUUGUGCAAGAAGGAACUUGCCCACAAUUGUCUUGGGGCACAUAUUAGUCUCUGUAUGAAUUGCUUUAGUGCAAACAUUUCCACCAGCACGUAAAAUUUCAAUUGUCUUUGUUUUGAGCCUUCUGAAUUCAGAGGAAGUAUUUCAUAUUGAUAUAUUUAGGUGAAAGAGAAAGUUACAGAGCCCUUUUGGUUUGAGGUUACCACUCCAGACACUUCAAAUGAAGAUGAAAUUUGAGAACUAAUUCAUAGAGAUAAUGACUUAGAGUAGAAAUUGAGAGCAAAUACUUCCUUUCUUGGAAAUGGUUCAAAAAGUGGAUAGUAAAACAAAGGAGAGCAAAAUGGAACUUGGCUGGGAUGCCAUGGGCGUUUCCUGGUUUCGUCCACACAUCCGUUCUUCAGAUAAAGGUUUAUUGAUUUUACCAUGAUAUGCCAGGCACUUAGAAUGCAAGCAUAGUUAAGAUCCAGUUAGUUUGUUUGUUUUUAAUUUAGUAGACUUGGUCGGCGGUAGGGCCUGCAAGACCAGCUCCCAAUAAUCCUCAAUUCCUGGUGUACACAGCUCUGUUCCGUCCCUUCCCAUAAUGAAUAAGGCCAACCUGUAUAACCAAUAAGAUAACAUGGAAGUAAUGAUUUGUAACUCCAGAGCUAGAUCAGAGAGGUUGCUGUUUCUACCCUGCUCUCUUGGAUCACUUGUUCUGGAGGGAAGCCAGUUGCCAUGUUGUGAGGACACCCAGGCAAGCUGUGGAAAGGACCACAGGGAGAGCUGAGGCUUCCUGUCAGCAGCCAGUCCCAACUUUUCAGCCAUGAGAAAAAGCCCCUUGGAAGCAGAUCUUCCAGCCCCAGGCAAGCCUCCACGUGACUGGCACUGGCUGAUAUCUUGAUUGCAACUUCAUCAGAGACCGCAAGCUAGAGCCACUUAAAUUUCUGACCUAUACAAUGUGUGUGAUGUGAUAAGCGUUUAUUGUGUUAAGCCUUUGUGUUUUAAGAUCAUCUAUUAUGUAGCAAUACAUAACUAAUACAUAGUCUUUACGUGUGGCCAGGCUUUGUUUGAAGGCCUUUGCAAAUAUUAACCCACGAAUCCUCCUAACAACUCCUCAAAGUUGGUACUGUUGUUAUUCUUAUUUUAUACAUGUGGAAAUGGAGGCCCAGAGAUUACUUUUAUCUUUUUGAGUUUUGCGUUUUUUUAUUUUGUAAAAAUAUUUUAUUUAUAAUUUUUAUGGAUAUAUAGAGAUGUUUAAAUUACUAGCCCAAAGUCAGUUUGUAAAGUGUUGAGCUGGGAUUUGAUUUGAGCAGUCUACCCCUUAGUAGAAUCUGCUUUAAAAAAAAAUGAACUAAGCAGUCUGGCCAGAGUCCAUGCUCUUAGCAGCUACAUUGUGUUGUCCUCAAGGAGGAGCAUGUUUUAGAAAAUUAGUUAUUAAAUCAGGUGACUGAUGAAGGGCAGGGUUAGGCUAAGAUAAGAGUGUACUCUGUUCAGAAUCCAGCUCUGUUACCAUUCAAGUGGAAGGUCUUGGUUAAAUCACUUAUUGGAACUUCUGUACAAUAAUCUGUAAAACCAUUACUUCCCACUUGGAAAGAUUUUGAGGAUUAAAUGACAUAAUGCAUGAAAGCCCUCUAGCUUGAGUGUCAGUACACCUGAGUUCCCUUCCCUUGCUCUGCACAACCUGAUCAUCACCACUAAUGGGGAACUCUGUCCUCUGUAGGGCCCCUGCAGACAUGGGCCUUGCCCGGAUGCUGCUGCUCUCUGAGCCUCGGAGAGCUGUGCCUGGCAUUCCAGCACAGGUGGUCACAGCUAUCAGAAGGAGACUCCUGUUUGGGACCCUGCCCUCACUCCCACAUAGGAAAAAUCCAUUUCCUGAACAUCUCUUGGCCUUUACUGUUAGGUUGUAGAAUAACAACAAUUAAUGAUUUUCUGUGUUUAGUUCCAUUAUGCACAAUACUCCACAGAAUGGGUGGCUUUGAAUGCCAACCACAAUUUACAAAGUGGAGUGGCUCUGCUGUCUCUUUGAGGUAUUGUGGAGCCAGACGUGUUGCUAUUGGGGGUGGGUGGUGAUUUAUAGGACAGCACCAUUAGCAGAGGCAGGCACAGAGACCUGGGUUCAAAUCCCACUACCAGUGCUAUCAGGUGUGAGACUUUGGACAAGUUAUUUAACCUUCUUGAGGCUUAGUGUCCUUGCAUGUAAAAUUCAAAAAUGCUGACCUCAUUGAUUCCUUGUGAGGAGCUCUUGGGGUAACGUGGGUACCAUGUGUCAGUAUCAUUUCCCUUUCCCUUCACAAUGAUUGUAUUGGAAAGCUAGUGUCAAAGGCAGCUAAUGGUUAGGAGUUCAGACUCACACAAGAAUACAUUUUAUUUUGCUGUGGAAAUUUAGUGAUAACUUUGGACUAAGACAAUUUCAAGACAUUACAGCAGACAGUCAGAGAGUAGUUACAUUCUUGUGAGGUCUGCAGAAGUCCCUAGUGGAGAGAGCAGACACAGUCCUGGAUGCUCAGUCCUAGCUCGGCUGUGAAACCGGAGCUUGAGCCAUGAUUACUGCACUGCACUGUAGCAACAGAGAAGGACCCUGUCUCUGAAAAAAAAAAAAAAUUGUAAGAUCAUUUUGGAAAAUAAGUGGCAUUUUCUACUAUAAGUCAGCAAAUCUACAAAUCCAAAUAUACUCAAGAAAAGCAUAGAUGCAGGAGGAAGCAUAUAAGAAUGUUCACUGGGGCAUUGUUUGUAAGAGGUAAAACCUGAGACCAGUCUAAAUGUCCAUCAGGAAAAUAGUAGAUUUAAGAAAUAUUUGAUGUGUAUAAGAUAGAACACCAUAUAGCAAUUAAAUGAUUGGAUUUGAUACAUUUGGAUAACUUAAUGUUGAUAAAAAAUCUCAGCUAAAUAAUGUUCCUUUUGUGUAACAUUUUUUAAAACCACAAAAUGGCACUUUAGUUUUGAACAUAUAUAUGAUUUUAUAUAUGAUUUUAUAAUUGUGGGCGUGUGUGUGUGUGUGUGUGUACACACACACACAAAAAAUAUGUAUUUUAUAUAUAAACAUUUGUAUAUAUACAAGCACACCCCACAGUUAUGAAAUCGUGCCUGCGAAAGGCAUCUAGAAGUUCUAGAGAACGAUAUCCUUUGGGAAGGGAAGCGGGGCAAGUUAAAUUGAACUAGAGUGAAAAGGAGGCUUGAACUCUGUUAUGCUUUAUUUCUU